UAAGAACUUUAAACUCUCUCGUAGGGAUUAUUCCAAAUAUAAUGAAGCUCUAUUACUUGAAGAAAUUCAGUCUACUGAUUGGAACAUGGAAACAUCCAAUGAUAGCAAUCCAACAGAAGUGUUCGAUAUUUUUCACUCCAAACUGUCUAGCAUUGUAGAUAAACAUAUUCCUCUGCGACAUCUGAGCAAAAAAGAACUUAAACACUUUGAUAAACCUUGGAUAACUUCAGGGAUUAGAAUGUAUAUAAAACUUAAGAACAAUUAUUAUAAAAAAUAUAUUAAAACAAGAUCACUGUACUUUUACAAUAAAUUUAAAACCUAUAGGAACAAAAUAAAUCACUUAUUAAAAAUUAGUAAAAUUAAUUAUUAUAAUCAAUAUUUUACCACAAACAAAUCGCACAUAAAAAAUAUAUGGAAAGGAGUUAAACAAAUAAUAACUCUCAAAACAAAAAACAGAGGUUUAUCCUCAAAGAUACUUAUUAAUGGUGAUGAAAUAACUGAUAGUAAAUCAAUUGCUGACAGGUUUAAUGAUUUUUUUGCUAAUAUUGGAAAUGCAUUAACUAGAGAUGUCCCCUGUAUUGAUACAAGUCCAGUGUCAUUUAUGACUUCUCGCCAAGUAAAUAGUCUGUUCUUGAAUCCAACUUCCUCUAACGAAAUUGAAGAAAUAAUUGUCCAGUUUAAUUCCUCAAAAGCUACGGGCCCGUAUAGCAUACCAGUUAAAAUUCUGAAAUUGCUAAGGAGAUUUAUUUCAAAGCCUUUGGAAUCUAUUUUUAAUUGUUGUCUUUCAACUGGUACUGUACCUAGCCAAUUCAAACUGGCUAGUGUCAUUCCUGUACAUAAAAAAGGCUCACAAUUAAUUUUAGACAAUUAUCGCCCUAUAUCUUUAUUAUGUAUUUUUAACCAGAUUCUUGAAAAAAUUGUGUCUAAACGUCUGUCAAACUUUGUUGAAAAAUAUGAUAUAAUAUAUACUAAACAGUUUGGCUUUCGUUCAAAUCAUUCUACAUUACAUGCAAUUUUAUCAAUAGUUGAUAAGAUACAGAAAGCUAUCGAUGAUGGUAAAUAUUCGUGUGCUGUAUUCCUUGAUUUGUCGAAAGCAUUUGAUACAGUUAACCAUCAUAUUUUAUUGCAAAAACUUGAAUGGUAUGGUAUACGAGGCGUGGCACUUAAAUGGUUCCAAUCGUAUCUAGAGAAUCGGCAACAGUUUGUGACAAUUGGCAAUGUUAGAUCAUCUUUAAUGCCUAUUACAUGUGGUGUACCUCAAGGUUCUGUCCUUGGCCCACUUCUAUUUCUAAUCUAUAUAAAUGAUUUUUGUAAUUCCUCCAGAAUUCUUGACUUUUUUCUUUUUGCUGACGAUUCAAGCUUAUUCUUUGAUAAUAAAAGCCUACCAAUUCUUGAAUCUACUAUAAAUAGUCAACUUGAGCA
Non-coding RNA from Paramuricea clavata, 1422 nucleotides. The record is from the annotation of a GenBank genome assembly. Lineage: Eukaryota; Metazoa; Cnidaria; Anthozoa; Malacalcyonacea; Plexauridae.